Long non-coding RNA from Oncorhynchus tshawytscha (Chinook salmon), 3079 nucleotides. The record is from Ensembl. Lineage: Eukaryota; Metazoa; Chordata; Actinopteri; Salmoniformes; Salmonidae.
UUAAACGUCAACACUUUUAAGGUCAACCCUGUUACUUUAUUUGGGCACUUCAAAAACAAAUUUUAUUUGUCACAUGCGCCGAAUAUAACAGGUGUGUAGACUUAACCGUGAAAUUCUUGCUUACAGCCCUUCACAACGAUUCAAAGUUUUUAAAAAAACAUGGGGAUUGUAACAAGAGGAAUAGAAUACACAAUAAUAACACCAUAUACAGGGAUUACCAGUACCAGAUCAAUGUGCAACUAUAUACAGGGAUUACCAGUACCAGAUCAAUGUGCAGCUAUAUACAGGGAUUACCAGUACCAGAUCAAUGCGCAGCUAUAUACAGGGAUUACCAGUACCAGAUCAAUGUGCAGCUAUAUACAGGAAGUACCAGAUCAAAGAGAUAAAUGUGCAGGGUAAAGUGACUAGGCAUCAGGACAGACCAGAAUACAAUAAAGUGCAGAGUAGCUGCAGAUGAGUGGAACCGUGUGUUUAUAUAUGCCUCCUAAAUGACGUACUAUAGUCAUGUAUUUGUUGUACAGAUGAGAAAACAUGUUUUAAUGAAGUUGUUAAUGUAACAGUAUAACUUUAAUCUAGCUAGCCAUUUCACAUCCGUUACAGUAACAUUAGUUGAAAUAAAAGUUACACUACCCAAAAUAUACUCAAUUGGAGGCAGAACCCACACAGUCAUCAGCCCUAGGCUAAAUACCAACAAGGUAUCCACGCAGCCCUACUAACCUAGGCUCAAUGCCAACAAGGUAUCCACUCAGCCCUACUAACCUAGGCUCAAUGCCAACAAGGUAUCCACUCAGCCCUACUAACCUAGGCUCAAUGCCAACAAGGUAUCCACUCAGCCCUACUAACCUAGGCUCAAUGCCAACAAGGUAUCCACACUCACUAUGUCCUCUGUAUGCUGUUCUAACCCAUCUAUGAAAGGGUGUGAUGCACUCUUGGUUGGAAUGAGGUCCAUGUCCAUCUCAGCUUUUCUCUUCCUUGGAGAAAAGGUCAGUGGAAGGUCUUUAUCCUGUGGAACAUGGGCCUUCAUAUCCAGCAGCACACUUCUGAGCUGUGAAGACAGGUCAGUCACGUACUGUUCCUCUUGGAGAUGAUAAGUGAGUUCUGUGAUCUCUUUAAGAUAUCCUGCACAUUGCCUCCGUAACCGCAACAGCUUCCUAGAGGACCUCUUCUUUCCUCUUCCAGAUGGACCUUCGUAUGGACGGUCAAUGUUGGAGUCUCCGGUGGCCCGCUUGGUCUUAAACAUGACAUUUCUUAUGUCACUGUCAGUGGGGUAAUAGCGCCUGCGAGUAGGUGGAGGGGGCUGCUCUCCAUGGAAAAGCUCUUCCACUACAAAGGUGUUCAGAUGACACUUCAUUUCAGUCAUCUUUCUCACACCAGACAGAGUCAGCUGCUCAAUCUUCUCUCUCAGCCUGGCAUCUACAGCUUCCCUAACAUGAGCUGCCUGUUGGAGAAAGAACACAUGGGUUUAUCAUAAAGGGGCCAGUGGGUCAGGGGGUAACUUAACCAACAGUCUAUUAUAUAGGUUCUAUAGUUAUAUUUACCUCGCCAACAACUGCAUGUGAGCUGUGCUCAGAGAGGGAGGGGAACCUGACGCAGUAGACAACCUCUGCCUUCACGGAGCUGGGUGUUUCACUUAGUGCUGCCUUCAGAGUUUGGGAGGCAGCUCAUGUUAGGGAAGCUGUAGAUGCCAGGCUGAGAGAGAAGAUUGAGCAGCUGACUCUGUCUGGUGUGAGAAAGAUGACUGAAAUGAAGUGUCAUCUGAACACCUUUGUAGUGGAAGAGCUUUUCCAUGGAGAGCAGCCCCUCCACCUACUCGCAGGCGCUAUUACCCCACUGACAGUGACAUAAGAAAUGUCAUGUUUAAGACCAAGCGGGCCACCGGAGACUCCAACAUUGACCGUCCAUACGAAGGUCCAUCUGGAAGAGGAAAGAAGAGGUCCUCUAGGAAGCUGUUGCGGUUACGGAGGCAAUGUGCAGGAUAUCUUAAAGAGAUCACAGAACUCACUUAUCAUCUCCAAGAGGAACAGUACGUGACUGACCUGUCUUCACAGCUCAGAAGUGUGCUGCUGGAUAUGAAGGCCCAUGUUCCACAGGAUAAAGACCUUCCACUGACCUUUUCUCCAAGGAAGAGAAAAGCUGAGAUGGACAUGGACCUCAUUCCAACCAAGAGUGCAUCACACCCUUUCAUAGAUGGGUUAGAACAGCAUACAGAGGACAUAGUGAGUGUGGAUACCUUGUUGGCAUUGAGCCUAGGGCUGAGGACCGAGUGUGUGGGUCCUUCCACAAAUUGAGUAUAUUUUGGGUAGUGUAACUUUUAUUUCAACUAAUAUUAGCAUUCUGUCAACACAACUUGAUAAGGGGGGGGGGUCAAGAGGGGAGAGCAUUCUUAGUUUUGAAUGUUGUUCUGGAGGCAGCGCUGCGGAGUGCUCACUAGCUGGCACAGUCAUAAAAUCUGAUUUUAAACCUAAUUGUUAACCACACUGCUAACCCUCAUUUCUAACCUUAAAUUAGCUUUUUGAUCUUAACUUGUGUUUGUAUGAUUUCUGACAACAUACAGUGUGUUCGUUAAGUUCAGACACCUUUCCCUUUUUCCACAUUUUGUUACAUUACAACCUAAUUCUAAAAUGGAUUCAUUUGUUAUUUUCCUCAUUAAUCUACACACAAUACCCCAUGACGACAUCACAAUACCCCAUGACGACAUCACAAUACCCCAUGACGACAUCACAAUACCCCAUGACGACAUCACAAUACCCCAUGACGACAUCAAAAUACCCCAUGAUGACAUCACAAUACCCCAUGAUGACUAAGCAAAAGCAGGUCUAGAAAUGUUAGCAAUUAUUUUAAUUUUGUUAAUAAAAAUAAAAUAUUACAUUUACAUAAGUAUUCAGACCCUUUACUCAGUACUUUGUUGAAGCACCUUUGGCAGCGAUUACAGCAGACUUCUUGGGUAUGACGUUACAAGCUUGGCACACCUGUAUUUUGGCAGUUUCUCCCAUUCUGCUCAGCAGAUCCUGUUAAGCUCUGUCAGGUUUGAUGGGGAGCGUCGCUGCACAGCUAUUUUCAGGUCUCUCCAGAGAUGUUC